RNAcentral lists this ribosomal RNA (497 nucleotides) under uncultured bacterium. RNAcentral's name for it is "partial 16S ribosomal RNA". It matches the Rfam family "Bacterial small subunit ribosomal RNA", at positions 28 to 507 of the family's 1533-position model. The record is from RNAcentral.
GAUGAACGCUGGCGGCGUGCCUAAUACAUGCAAGUCGAGCGAACAGACGAGGAGCUUGCUCCUCUGACGUUAGCGGCGGACGGGUGAGUAACACGUGGUUAACCUACCUAUAAGACUGGGAUAACUUCGGGAAACCGGAGCUAAUACCGGAUAAUAUAUUGAACCGCAUGGUUCAAUAGUGAAAGACGGUUUUGCUGUCACUUAUAGAUGGAUCCGCGCCGCAUUAGCUAGUUGGUAAGGUAACGGCUUACCAAGGCAACGAUGCGUAGCCGACCUGAGAGGGUGGUCGGCCACACUGGAACUGAGACACGGUCCAGACUCCUACGGGAGGCAGCAGUAGGGAAUCUUCCGCAAUGGGCGAAAGCCUGACGGAGCAACGCCGCGUGAGUGAUGAAGGUCUUCGGAUCGUAAAACUCUGUUAUUAGGGAAGAACAAAUGUGUAAGUAACUAUGCACGUCUUGACGGUACCUAAUCAGAAAGCCACGGCUAACUACGUG